This 301-nucleotide ribosomal RNA is filed under the name uncultured bacterium. RNAcentral describes it as "partial 16S ribosomal RNA". It matches the Rfam family "Bacterial small subunit ribosomal RNA", at positions 509 to 807 of the family's 1533-position model. The record is from RNAcentral.
CAGCAGCCGCGGUAAUGCGUAGGUGGCAAGCGUUGUCCGGAAUUAUUGGGCGUAAAGGGCUCGCAGGCGGUUUCUUAAGUCUGAUGUGAAAGCCCCCGGCUCAACCGGGGAGGGUCAUUGGAAACUGGGAAACUUGAGUGCAGAAGAGGAGAGUGGAAUUCCACGUGUAGCGGUGAAAUGCGUAGAGAUGUGGAGGAACACCAGUGGCGAAGGCGACUCUCUGGUCUGUAACUGACGCUGAGGAGCGAAAGCCAGGGGAGCGAACGGGAUUAGAUACCCCCGUAGUCCCUGUCUCUUAUAC